GACGAACGCUGGCGGCGUGCUUAACACAUGCAAGUCGAACGGAAAGACCCUGCUUUUGUGGGGUGCUCGAGUGGCGAACGGGUGAGUAACACGUGAGUAACCUGCUCUUGACUUUGGGAUAACUUCAGGAAACUGGGGCUAAUACCGGAUAGGAUCUCCUGCUGCAUGGUGGGGGUUGGAAAGUUUCGGCGGUUGGGGAUGGACUCGCGGCUUAUCAGCUUGUUGGUGGGGUAGUGGCUUACCAAGGCUUUGACGGGUAGCCGGCCUGUGUGGGUGACCGGCGACAUUGGGACUGAGGUACGGCCCAGACUCCUACGGGAGGCAGCAGUGGGGAAUAUUGCACAAGGGGCGGAAGCCUGAUGCAGCAACGCCGCGUGCGGGAUGACGGCCUUCGGGUUGUAAACCGCUUUCGCCUGUGACGAAGCGUGAGUGACGGUAAUGGGUAAAGAAGCACCGGCUAACUACGUG
This 468-nucleotide ribosomal RNA is filed under the name uncultured bacterium. RNAcentral describes it as "partial 16S ribosomal RNA". It matches the Rfam family "Bacterial small subunit ribosomal RNA", at positions 28 to 507 of the family's 1533-position model. The record is from RNAcentral.